AGUGAACGCUGGCGGUAGGCCUAACACAUGCAAGUCGAACGGCAGCACAGUAAGGGCUUGCUCUUACGGGUGGCGAGUGGCGGACGGGUGAGGAAUACAUCGGAAUCUACUUUUUCGUGGGGGAUAACGUAGGGAAACUUACGCUAAUACCGCAUACGACCUACGGGUGAAAGCAGGGGAUCUUCGGACCUUGCGCGAUUGAAUGAGCCGAUGUCGGAUUAGCUAGUUGGCGGGGUAAAGGCCCACCAAGGCGACGAUCCGUAGCUGGUCUGAGAGGAUGAUCAGCCACACUGGAACUGAGACACGGUCCAGACUCCUACGGGAGGCAGCAGUGGGGAAUAUUGGACAAUGGGCGCAAGCCUGAUCCAGCCAUACCGCGUGGGUGAAGAAGGCCUUCGGGUUGUAAAGCCCUUUUGUUGGGAAAGAAAAGCAGCAUGUUAAUACCCCGCUGUUCUGACGGUACCCAAAGAAUAAGCACCGGCUAACUUCGUG
Molecule: ribosomal RNA, 492 nt
Filed under: uncultured bacterium
Lineage: Bacteria
Description: partial 16S ribosomal RNA
Rfam family: Bacterial small subunit ribosomal RNA
Source: RNAcentral